CAAUAGCGUAUAUUUAAGUUGUUGCAGUUAAAAAGCUCGUAGUUGGAUUUCGGGUGGGACGCAGCGGUCUCGCAUUGCGUUUGUACUGCUGCAGCCCUCCUUCUUGCCGGGGGCGGCCUCUCGGACUUCACUGUCUGGGGGUCAGAAUCGGCGAUGUUACUUUGAGUAAAUUAGAGUGUUCAAAGCAAGCUUACGCUCUGAAUAUAAUAGCAUGGGAUAACACGACAGGACUCUGGCCUAUCGUGUUGGUCUAUAGGACCAGAGUAAUGAUUAAGAGGGACAGUCGGGGGCAUUCGUAUUCCGUUGUCAGAGGUGAAAUUCUUGGAUUUAUGGAAGACGAACAUCUGCGAAAGCAUUUGCCAAGGAUGUUUUCAUUGA
This 378-nucleotide ribosomal RNA is filed under the name uncultured eukaryote. RNAcentral describes it as "partial 18S ribosomal RNA". It matches the Rfam family "Eukaryotic small subunit ribosomal RNA", at positions 592 to 976 of the family's 1831-position model. The record is from RNAcentral.